AACGAACGCUGGCGGCAUGCCUAACACAUGCAAGUCGAACGAGACCUUCGGGUCUAUUGGCUCACGGGUUCGUAACGCGUGGGAACCUGCCCUUAUGUUCGGAAUAACUCCCCGAAAGGGGUGCUAAUACCGGAUAAUGGCUACGACCCAAAGAUUUAUCGCCUUAGGAUGUGCCCUAGUUGCAUUAGCUGGUUGUUAGGCUAAAAGCAUACCACGGCGACGAUCCAUAGCUUGUCUCUGAGAAUGAUCAGACACUCUGGGACGGGGAUGCGGCCCAGACUCCUCCGGGAGGGAGCAGUGCGUGAUAGUGGAAACUGGGCGGAAGUCUGAGGCAGCACUGUGGCGAGAGUGAUGAAGGUAUUAGAGUAGUAAAGCUCUAUUAACCGGGAUCAUCAUGACAGUACCGAGAGAAUAAGCUCCGGCUAACUACGUG
Molecule: ribosomal RNA, 433 nt
Filed under: uncultured bacterium
Lineage: Bacteria
Description: partial 16S ribosomal RNA
Rfam family: Bacterial small subunit ribosomal RNA
Source: RNAcentral